GAUGAACGCUAGCGAUAGGCCUAACACAUGCAAGUCGAGGGGCAUCACAUGAAGUAGCAAUACGGAUGGUGGCGACCGGCGCACGGGUGAGUAACACGUAUGCAACCUGCCUUCAACAAGGGGAUAACCCGUUGAAAGACGGACUAAUACCCUAUAACACAGGGGUCCCGCAUGGGAAUAUUUGUUAAAGGACAACCGGUUGAAGAUGGGCAUGCGUUCCAUUAGCUAGUUGGCGGGGUAACGGCCCACCAAGGCAACGAUGGAUAGGGGAACUGAGAGGUUUAUCCCCCACACUGGUACUGAGACACGGACCAGACUCCUACGGGAGGCAGCAGUGAGGAAUAUUGGUCAAUGGACGCAAGUCUGAACCAGCCACGUCGCGUGAAGGAAGACGGCCCUACGGGUUGUAAACUUCUUUUGUAAGGGAAUAAAGUGUAGUACGCGUACUAUUUUGCAUGUACCUUACGAAUAAGGAUCGGCUAACUCCGUGCCAGCAGCCGCGGUAAAUACUGACUCA
RNAcentral lists this ribosomal RNA (517 nucleotides) under uncultured bacterium. RNAcentral describes it as "bacterial SSU rRNA". It matches the Rfam family "Bacterial small subunit ribosomal RNA", at positions 28 to 536 of the family's 1533-position model. The record is from RNAcentral.